UGAACCCUAGCUUGCCACCACCGCUCCACCUCCUUUGUUCCGCUGCUUGCCGAUCGUCGAUUCCUUAUUCGUGCCGCAUCUUGCCGCCGUCGAAGCCCACCGUCAUAUUUUCCACUACCACUGGCACUCCCCCACGAACGGCUGACACCACAAAGGUUAGCUAAUUAUUUGAAUUUUAGUUGUAUUCAUUAUCAUUCUCUUAUCACUAAUUUUAGUUCAGAGAUUUGAUGGAAGCGCUCGACCUAAAGAUAUCAACCUUUAUCAAUAGGAGAGAUUGAAGAAGAAGUGCACUACCUUACAUUUAUGAAAGUAUAGUAAAAAGAUAUGUGGUUCGUGUUAGCAUAACUAGAUUGAUGUCUAAGCUCAUAUUUUGGAUCUGUGAAGAACUAUUAGAAGAUAAUCUUUUGAAGGUGAAGGAUCAUUGCUGGAUAGAACUAUUAGAAAAUAGUUUAAAGGAGAUAUAAUAAGAGAAGGACCAAGUUUUUGAUAAGGAAAUAUCUAGCCAAAUGUGGAUGCUUUUUUUAGAUUAUCAGUCAAGUUGGACAAAAGGGUGGGAGGGCUGAACAUUGGAGAAGACAACGACAAUGGAAACAUUGAAUGCGAGUACUAUGUGAUGGAACUAUUGAAUGUGGGUGUAGUAAAUUUAAGUCGAAUGAAGUGCGAAUGGAGCUAGCUGAUUUUUUGGGUGACCAUAUAUGAUUAUGGUGAUUAGCUAAGUGUUUUUGGGUUAGAUAGAUAUAUAUUUAUUUAUUGGUUUUAGGUGAAUCAAUGAUAUUUUUUGAGUUAGCUUAAACAUGUAAUUUUUUUUUGAUAUUAGAUAUAGGUGAAUCUCAAUAUUGAUAUGGUACACCUUUGGGCUUUACAUAUAUUUUGUUUAUAUUAGACAUAGAUGGAAAGUUUGUGCUAUGGUAAUUAAGUAUGUAAUGACCAACUAUAUAUAUGUUUCAUUGAUAUAUGCAAUUUGUUAAAUUAUAAUUA
Cucumis melo (muskmelon) is the source of this 978-nucleotide long non-coding RNA. RefSeq lists it as uncharacterized. NCBI's taxonomy places the organism in Eukaryota, Viridiplantae, Streptophyta, Magnoliopsida, Cucurbitales, Cucurbitaceae. The record is from RefSeq and is a predicted model, not a curated record. The transcript has 3 exons.